This 73-nucleotide transfer RNA is filed under the name Planctomycetota bacterium. RNAcentral describes it as "Planctomycetes bacterium tRNA-Lys". It matches the Rfam family "tRNA". Rfam says of the family: Transfer RNA (tRNA) molecules are approximately 80 nucleotides in length. The record is from RNAcentral. Lineage: Bacteria; Pseudomonadati; Planctomycetota.
GAGGAGUUAGCUCAGUUGGUAGAGCAACGCCCUUUUAAGGCGUGGGUCCGGGGUUCGAGCCCCCGACUCCUCA